CAUAGGCAUUGAUUUCUUGCUCCCACUCUACUGUAACAAGACAAAUAUGUUUUCCUGAAAAAAACAAUGAUCCAGUUUUUCUCAACAAACAAAUAAUAAUGAUAACAGCAUCACUAAGUUCACCAUUUCAAUGCUUACACUCUGACUUCUCGAUCUGCUCUAAUGAAUAUGUUGCAUCUUCUAGACAAAUAAUCAUAAUGUCAUGCACUUUAAAUAUUUAGUGGGGAAACCCUGCCUAUCAUAUAUUGAGAGUUUCUUAUUUUGCCUUUCUGGAGGAGAUGUAUAUAACAAAUUGCCUAUAAAAUUUAUUGUUUAAACUAUCCGAACACAUCAAGGACCCACAUGAUACAAAGAGCAAUGACUUUUAAGUCUCGGUACUGGGCCCCAUACAGGUACCUUACCAGUACAGUACACCCCACCGACACAUGAUGAAAGGUUGGAGUCAGCAUAGCACCUGCACAAUCUGUUGGUAAAGAGGCUGUACCAAGCAUUCGUCAUAUCCAUACCACACCAUGUCAGCACAGUACAUAGUCAGGCCCGUGCUUAGAACCUUUACUGAAAGACAAGAGUUAUGUCUGUUUUAGCACCAUGGCCGUUUUAUUAUUGUAAAAUUUGAACAUUAUCUCCAAAAAAUUAUUACUGUUUAUGUAGCAUUCCAACAUUUGUUUCUUGAGUUAAAAAUUUUACCAGUGCCUAAAAUAUCAUCUUCAAACUUCAUACUCCUUUCUCAUCCCCAUUCCCCCUCAUAUAUUCUCCCAACUUCUAGAAAUUUUGAUUAUAAAGGGAAAAAAAAAAAAGAAGAUGCCAACGGCAUCAGGUUAGACUUGCAAGUACAAUACUUCAUUUCUUGAAUAUGUAGCUACAACACAGCUAGAACAUAUUCAACAUCCAUAUUUAGCCCCUGUUAUAACUUAUAAGUGUGACUUUUGAUCAGUAGGCACUACAGAAGCCAUCAACAUAAGCUUGCACCUAUCAAAUAUUCUAAUGUAUUCACCUGUCCAAAUAAAGAAAAGAAUGAUAAAAACAGGGAUAAAUGACUUAAUCUCUGAGCAGAUGUAUUUCCUGAAUGGCAUUGUGCAGUCAAGAAUCCAAAGCAGUCUUUAAUCUGGUGAUGAAAGAAAACUGAUGCUUGUGAAAAAGUCUGAAAGCAGAAGCAAUACAUGGCCAAAGCUAAGAAUGUUGUCAUAGACCAGACCCAUGCUGUUGCAGUUGAGCAUGCCCCAGAGAAGAUAUCAGAACCAAGAAGAAGAUAGACAUAGAUGCUGUAUGAAAGGAAAAUAAAGAGGCAGCAAGAGAAGAUGAGAUUCUAUCUUAAAAGCAAAUUUCACUAGUUCACAGAGUCAAAGUCACUCAACACCACAUUUGGCAACCAUUCCCUGUUCAAUUUGUUCGCCACAACUUAAAAUUUAUAAUUCACUUUUGCUUUGAUUCUUCCUCUUCCCCAGGCUUUUUAAGGAUAUACAAAGGAUGGUAAUAUGUGAUGGAGAUGUUGCAAAUGCUCAAAAAAUCGUAGAAAGGAAGCUCUAUUUUUCCAGUAGUUAUAUUCUCUAAUAUCAUAACAUGAAAGGGUUUGCAUGACCUAUGCAGCCAUGCAUAGCAAAAAGACAGUAUCUGGAAAUGUUACUUAAGAAAUCCGCUGUCAAAAGGCAAGCCCCCCUCCAUCCAUCUGCCUGUCUAUCUAUAAAGAACUUUUUGUCCUUUAGAAGUAUAAAUCCAUUAGUAAUAGAUUGCAGUCUCUUUCUUUCUUGAAGAGAAAUAAGAGAAUUCCACCACUAAACUUUGGUUUUGUUAGGAGGGGGGGGUGGGGGGUGGGGGUGGGGUUGGGAUUGCAUAUAUUGAUGAACACUGAUUUUGAGGAAGCCCUCAGGGAGAUGGGUUGCAGUCAUUCUCAAGCAUAAUACAUGCCAAGCAUGAUUGCAUUAUAAUUGGCAGCGUCUGUGUUAUUCUCAAGCUUACUAGAAAAUGGAUUGUUGCUCAAGUAUGUCGAUAUUUUUUUAAUCUAGUAAGCUUUUACAAAUGCAUAAAUGGGAACGGCGUCGUAAAGAUAAAGUAAAAUUAUAGAGAAAAGAAAACAUAAGUAAUCCAUUGAAGCUUGAAAUUUAAUGCAUAAAAUAUUCCAAAUGUAAAAUCUUUUACCAACAGCAUGUGGACAAAAUUGUUCCAGCUACCAAGAAAUGAAACAAAACAACUGAAACAACUGUGGAAACAGCAUGUGCCAUACUCUUGCCAUAC
Molecule: long non-coding RNA, 2232 nt
Filed under: Elaeis guineensis (African oil palm)
Lineage: Eukaryota; Viridiplantae; Streptophyta; Magnoliopsida; Arecales; Arecaceae
Description: long non-coding RNA (EGUI_LNC032617)
Source: RNAcentral